Molecule: long non-coding RNA, 652 nt
Filed under: Malus domestica (apple)
Lineage: Eukaryota; Viridiplantae; Streptophyta; Magnoliopsida; Rosales; Rosaceae
Description: long non-coding RNA (MDOM_LNC021225)
Source: RNAcentral
GCAUUGGGGUGAACCACGAUACAUCUUUGUGUUCUUGAGUGUUUGUGUGAUUCACGGUCGGAUUUACAUUGGUCCAAGAUCCUCCGGAUUCUGUGCAUCAACAUUUGGCGUCGUUUGUGGGAAACGACACGAAAUGCUAUGUCGGUUCUCUUUCAUUUUUUUCAUCAAACUACAACUCUCUGCAAAGUACAAUUGUCCAAGAGCGGACUACUUGAGCGAUACCUGCUGUUUGUUUCCUGAUAAAAUAAGACAGGAAAUGAGAGUGAGAAUUAAAGAGUGGAACAAAUGGUUGUGGGUGGUUUCGCUGUUGAUGCACCUCUAGCCGUCACUGGCAUCGACGGGAAGAUAAUGGUUUCGGUGGUUAUUGAAGGAAAUUUUAUGAAAAACAUGUUCAUUUAAGUAACAUCUAUGGCAUGCAAUUAACAAUUAAAGGCAGAAUCAUGCUUGUAUGCACUCAAAAAUAAAACAUUACCCAUGAAAUUCAAAGCUUAGUAGUUAUGUGAACCAAGACUCAACUCAAGAACAAAGUGAGUUAAGAAAUUUUAUACCUUCGAAGCACCUCUAUGCUUAGCAAAGGUUAAUCACCCAUGUGAGGGCCUUCUUUCCUUUGUCACCUUACUCCUUGGCUCCAUGGAUGUGGAUGGAGGAACUU